UGUCUAUAAUGAACUUCAUUGCUGCUUUUUAAAAAUUUUUCCUUUUGAUAAGAAAUUAAAGACUGAUUUCCUCUCUACAAAAGAAAAUGCCACUUUAUUCCCCAUACACACCCUCUCUCUUAGUAAAACAACUCUGAUUUUUAUAGCUGGGCAUCUUGCCACCCAGUUAAAGAUGUAUUCCCUUGCAGCUAAAUAAGGCCAAGUGACUAUGCUCUUGCCAAUAAUAUGUAAACUGAAGUGUAGCAAGGUACUUUUGGGAAGUCUCUUUAAAAAGCAUCAUUUCUUUUGUAUUUGUCCCUUCAUCUUCCUGCUACUCAAGAUGUGCAUAUAAUGGCAGGCACUUCUGUAGGCAUUUUGGAUCAUGAAAUGUCUUUGAUGGAAACUAAGAAAAGUAGAGAAACAGAAUUGAAGGUUUCACAAUUCUAAAACCUUUGUAAAAGUUUUGUAAAAGGUUUUACAAUUGAAGGUAAUUAAUAUUACACUAUUAAUUAUAGUAAAGGUCAUGCUUCUGUGGAAAAAAAAAAGAGUCCCUUGACAUGAUGGUUCAAACAAGUUAGGAAAGGCAGACUGUGCUUCUCAAAAUCAGCCAGAGAAUCAGACUGGCUGAGCACACUGCCAUCCUCAAUGCAUGGCUUCUAGAUUGCUUUAGCCUUUAUCAUUUGAAGCCAAUAGGAAGCAAGGAGAACAUCAAAGCACAUAAUUAAUGACCGAAAGCAUCCAUCACUUCUGCUCAAAUCAUUUUGGGAAUGUCAUAGUCUUCUUGAUCACACUUGAAUGCUGGGGAAGCUAAGCAGUGUAGUACAACUGGACAAUCAGUUCCUGUGUCCAAGAACUUUUUAAAGACAGUAGGGUAGAAUGCUUACUUGUAAUCAAAAAGCAGUCUCCACCAAAACUGUAGGUCUUCAUAUUCUAUCCAGAUGGUAAAAAGUUAACUUUUCUCUUGUUUAGCUUACUACACGCCGGGCCUUUAUUAUUUAUAGUUGAACAUCAUCUUCAUUGAUAUACCCCUUUUAUGUUUUUUCAAUGAACCUCAUCUGUAAAUCAUUAACUGGAUUAUUAGAUAAGUGCUAAAUAAUCCCCAGCUGUAAAAUUCUAAGAAUAAUUAAAACUUCCUUUCUUAACAUUCUUAGUGAACAACUUACAGGUUAAAAAACAAACCCAAAGAGAUUAUUUCCUGCAAAGAGCCUUUAGUAUGGUAGCACCUACUUCUAGAAGGCCUGUCAUAAACUGUCAUCUAGUGAAAGUGAUGAAGAAGAGUGGCUGGGAGUCAAUCUUAUCAGGAGCUGGAACAGGUGAAGCCCUCACCAGUGAAAAAUCUUGACAGAUGCAGCUACUAAGAUUUCCUACUACAAAGAAUAACAGCAGUUAGAAAAGCAGACUCCCUGUGGUGGCGACCAGUAUCUUCAAACUCAUACCAGAGUAAAGCCUUAUCCAUUUGGAGUUCUUUCUGAUGCAUUAUGUGAGAAAAACAAGCAAACAAAUGAACACUUAUUUGUAUUUGAAUUGCACUAAAUUUAUACAUGAAACUGAAAAAAACUGAUAUCUUUAUGAAGCUGCAUAAUCCUAUCCAAGGACAGACGUCUCCUUCCAUUUGCUUUUGCUUUACUAAUUUGAAUCUAUGUUAUUUGUUUUGGAUACAUCUGGAAUUGACUUUUUUGCAUGGUGUAAGAAAUAACAGUUCUUCCUGGAUCAGCCCUCUCCCGUCUGUCAUCUCCAACAGAUACAAAGCCAGCUUUAAGAAGACCAAACCUACAAAAAUCAUUCAUGCUUUCUGCCUCCAUGUUUUUCUUUCCAACCUAGUUCCUCCAGAAAAUGUAAAAGAGCAACCGAACCGUCAACUGGUACAAUGACUUCUACACAUCAGACCUCGGCCACGCCACAGUCAUCAGAUUAUUCUAUCACAGGGUCUCUCAACCGUGGAAUAUGGUCUCCAAGGGAAACAAGCCACAGAGGGCUCAGGAGCAUUGCUAUAAAGAGUAGGCAAAUGGAAAUCUUUCCCCAAAGGGCACACUGGGAUUGUUAGGCGAGGGCUGCUCAAUCCAUUAAAAGUUUAAACUCGAAAAAAAAAAAGAAAAAAAAAACCUUUUGAAAAAA
RNAcentral lists this long non-coding RNA (2094 nucleotides) under Homo sapiens (human). Its description in RNAcentral is "HSALNT0402971". The record is from RNAcentral. Lineage: Eukaryota; Metazoa; Chordata; Mammalia; Primates; Hominidae.